ACCAAUAAGCUUAUAGAAUAUUUGGAUAACACGAAACAAAAAUAGUUACAACAUGACUCGAGAUAACAUUCAUGUUAAACACACAACUCAGCAAGCAGCUGAAUUCUCAUACUUGGGUGCUUCUUCUCACAAAAGAAAAAAUAAAGCUAUCAAAAAUGUAAAAUGGAAUCCUCCAAAGAGUUUACAAGCUAAAUACAAAUGGAGCAUAUUCAGCUACAACUGCUGGGAUUGGAGGGCUAAUUAGAAAUUCCACCGCUGAAUGGAAAUUGGGCUUCUCAGGAACUGCCUCAGGGGACACAUCCAUUUCUGCAGAAUUUUAUGCAUUGACUCAUGGACUAAAAUUGGCAUAUGAAAACAACAUAAAGCCACUAGAAGUGGAGGUGGAUGCAACAGAAGUUAUCACACUAUUACAAUCUAAUAAUAUUCCAUUCUCUAACAUGAUAAAUGAUUGCAGGUACUUCCUGGACCAGCUAGGUAAUCCUGUAAUGCAAUAUGCAUACAGAGAAAAAAACAGGGUAGCAGAUAAACUAGCAAAGACAGGCCACAAUUUUAGAAACAAUUAUAUCCCAAGUGUUUUUGAAGAUAUUCCAACUUUUGUUGCACAAAUUUUUGAAAAAGACAGGGAAUGUUUGGCAGCUCCUCCAACAUGCCAAGGGAAUGCUUGGCAAAAAUCGAAGUGGCAAUCUUGAUCAGCCACCUCCGAAUAUGAUCAGUUGUUGUGAUCAUGAUAGUUCCACUAGGAAUGCCAUGACAAACAUAAAUAUUAGUAGUAAUAUCUAGUACCUUGUAAUGGUACGAUAUUUUGUAACAGGGAGCAAGCGAUGCACCAACCCUCUGUACGCAUUACUUAGUUAAUAUAUAUAUUAUCUUUCAAACUUAAAAAAAUAGAAAAACUCCUAGAAAUCAAACCUGUUGUGGCUAUGCUGUCUAUCUGAUGUAGCAAGCGAAAACAAAUAAAUAACAUAGCAAGCAAGGUUCGAUCCCACGCCCUGAAAGGCAAACACUAUGUGCCUCUACCACUAACACAUUGGUACCUUCUGUUAUUUUGAGUAACGACUAUUUUAUUUAUCAUCUUUCUUGAAUAUACUAUAGAUAUAUAUUUGUAAUUUCUAUCGAAGCUUGCGGGAGGCAUAACACCC
RNAcentral lists this long non-coding RNA (1139 nucleotides) under Nicotiana tabacum (common tobacco). RNAcentral's name for it is "long non-coding RNA (NTAB_LNC006395)". Lineage: Eukaryota; Viridiplantae; Streptophyta; Magnoliopsida; Solanales; Solanaceae. The record is from RNAcentral.